This 2332-nucleotide ribosomal RNA is filed under the name Klebsiella pneumoniae. Its description in RNAcentral is "partial 23S ribosomal RNA". It matches the Rfam family "Bacterial large subunit ribosomal RNA", at positions 329 to 2925 of the family's 2925-position model. The record is from RNAcentral. Lineage: Bacteria; Pseudomonadati; Pseudomonadota; Gammaproteobacteria; Enterobacterales; Enterobacteriaceae.
UUAGUGGAACGGUCUGGAAAGUCCGACGGUACAGGGUGAUAGUCCCGUACACCAAAAUGCACAGGCUGUGAACUCGAAGAGUAGGGCGGGACACGUGGUAUCCUGUCUGAAUAUGGGGGGACCAUCCUCCAAGGCUAAAUACUCCUGACUGACCGAUAGUNAACCAGUACCGUGAGGGAAAGGCGAAAAGAACCCCGGCGAGGGGAGUGAAAAAGAACCUGAAACCGUGUACGUACAAGCAGUGGGAGCACCUUCGGGUGUGACUGCGUACCUUUUGUAUAAUGGGUCAGCGACUUAUAUUCUGUAGCAAGGUUAACCGUAUAGGGGAGCCGCAGGGAAACCGAGUCUUAACUGGGCGUUAAGUUGCAGGGUAUAGACCCGAAACCCGGUGAUCUAGCCAUGGGCAGGUUGAAGGUUGGGUAACACUAACUGGAGGACCGAACCGACUAAUGUUGAAAAAUUAGCGGAUGACUUGUGGCUGGGGGUGAAAGGCCAAUCAAACCGGGAGAUAGCUGGUUCUCCCCGAAAGCUAUUUAGGUAGCGCCUCGUGAANUCAUCUUCGGGGGUAGAGCACUGUUUCGGCUAGGGGGUCAUCCCGACUUACCAACCCGAUGCAAACUACGAAUACCGAAGAAUGUUAUCACGGGAGACACACGGCGGGUGCUAACGUCCGUCGUGAAGAGGGAAACAACCCAGACCGCCAGCUAAGGUCCCAAAGUCAUGGUUAAGUGGGAAACGAUGUGGGAAGGCACAGACAGCCAGGAUGUUGGCUUAGAAGCAGCCAUCAUUUAAAGAAAGCGUAAUAGCUCACUGGUCGAGUCGGCCUGCGCGGAAGAUGUAACGGGGCUAAACCAUGCACCGAAGCUGCGGCAGCGACACUAUGUGUUGUUGGGUAGGGGAGCGUUCUGUAAGCCUGCGAAGGUGACCUGUGAGGGUUGCUGGAGGUAUCAGAAGUGCGAAUGCUGACAUAAGUAACGAUAAAGCGGGUGAAAAGCCCGCUCGCCGGAAGACCAAGGGUUCCUGUCCAACGUUAAUCGGGGCAGGGUGAGUCGACCCCUAAGGCGAGGCCGAAAGGCGUAGUCGAUGGGAAACAGGUUAAUAUUCCUGUACUUGGUGUUACUGCGAAGGGGGGACGGAGAAGGCUAUGUUAGCCGGGCGACGGUUGUCCCGGUUUAAGCAUGUAGGCUGGUUNUCCAGGCAAAUCCGGAUAAUCAAGGCUGAGGUGUGAUGACGAGGNACUACGGUGCUGAAGUAACAAAUGCCCUGCUUCCAGGAAAAGCCUCUAAGCAUCAGGUAACAUNAAAUCGUACCCCAAACCGACACAGGUGGUCAGGUAGAGAAUACCAAGGCGCUUGAGAGAACUCGGGUGAAGGAACUAGGCAAAAUGGUGCCGUAACUUCGGGAGAAGGCACGCUGGUGUGUAGGUGAAGUCCCUGCGGAUGGAGCUGAGACCAGUCGAAGAUACCAGCUGGCUGCAACUGUUUAUUAAAAACACAGCACUGUGCAAACACGAAAGUGGACGUAUACGGUGUGACGCCUGCCCGGUGCCGGAAGGUUAAUUGAUGGGGUUAUCCGUAAGGAGAAGCUCUUGAUCGAAGCCCCGGUAAACGGCGGCCGUAACUAUAACGGUCCUAAGGUAGCGAAAUUCCUUGUCGGGUAAGUUCCGACCUGCACGAAUGGCGUAAUGAUGGCCAGGCUGUCUCCACCCGAGACUCAGUGAAAUUGAACUCGCUGUGAAGAUGCAGUGUACCCGCGGCAAGACGGAAAGACCCCGUGAACCUUUACUAUAGCUUGACACUGAACAUUGAGCCUUGAUGUGUAGGAUAGGUGGGAGGCUUUGAAGCGUGGACGCCAGUCUGCGUGGAGCCAACCUUGAAAUACCACCCUUUAAUGUUUGAUGUUCUAACGUUGGCCCCUGACCGGGGUUGCGGACAGUGUCUGGUGGGUAGUUUGACUGGGGCGGUCUCCUCCCAAAGCGUAACGGAGGAGCACGAAGGUUAGCUAAUCCUGGUCGGACAUCAGGAGGUUAGUGCAAUGGCAUAAGCUAGCUUGACUGCGAGCGUGACGGCGCGAGCAGGUGCGAAAGCAGGUCAUAUCACUGGUGUUCGGGUUGUCAUGCCAAUGGCACUGCCCGGUAGCUAAAUGCGGAAGAGAUAAGUGCUGAAAGCAUCUAAGCACGAAACUUGCCCCGAGAUGAGUUCUCCCUGAGACUUUAAGUCUCCUGAAGGAACGUUGAAGACGACGACGUUGAUAGGCCGGGUGUGUAAGCGCAGCGAUGCGUUGAGCUAACCGGUACUAAUGAACCGUGAGGCUUAACCUUACAACGCCGAAG